RNAcentral lists this ribosomal RNA (30 nucleotides) under Ramaria sp. 8 AK-2012. Its description in RNAcentral is "partial 18S ribosomal RNA". The record is from RNAcentral. Lineage: Eukaryota; Fungi; Basidiomycota; Agaricomycetes; Gomphales; Gomphaceae.
UUGGGGGGUGGACCUGCCGGAAGGACAUUA